GGAGUUGUAGCUCAGUUGGUAGAGCAUACGACUGAAGAUCGUAUGGCCGCGUGUUCGAUUCACGCCAACUCCA
Transfer RNA from Capsaspora owczarzaki ATCC 30864, 73 nucleotides. It matches the Rfam family "tRNA". Rfam says of the family: Transfer RNA (tRNA) molecules are approximately 80 nucleotides in length. Their secondary structure includes four short double-helical elements and three loops (D, anti-codon, and T loops). NCBI's taxonomy places the organism in Eukaryota, Filasterea, Ministeriida, Capsasporidae. The record is from Rfam.